Portunus trituberculatus (swimming crab) is the source of this 4004-nucleotide RNA transcript. RefSeq lists it as uncharacterized. The record is from RefSeq and is a predicted model, not a curated record. The transcript has 5 exons. Lineage: Eukaryota; Metazoa; Arthropoda; Malacostraca; Decapoda; Portunidae.
AUUAAGGGUCGUUUAGAUCAGGCCGAGAUGAGUUAUGAGAGCAAGCAUCCCAUCAUACUUCCUUCAGGUCACGUUGCCCAACUUCUGAUACUAUUUCAACAUCUUUUACUCAAACAUGCUGGGGUAUCCACACUUGUAUCAACUCUAAGGAAUAAUUAUUGGAUUGUGGGAGUAAGAAGAAUGUCUAAAUCAGUUUGUAAGAAGUGUAUACCAUGUCGAAGGCAUGAUUCUAGACCUUGUAGUCAACCUGCAGCCCCUCUUCCUGGUUCAAGAGUCAGACCUGCACCUCCUUUCUCUGUAACUGGAUUAGAUUAUGCUGGCCCUUUGUAUUGUGUAGAUAUGCCAGGCAAGAAACUCUAUAUUUUGCUGUUCACUUGUGCUGUCAUAAGAGCGGUUCAUUUGGAGCUUACUGAUUCAUUGUCAAUGCAUGAUUGUGUUCUGGCUAUUCGCAGGUUUGCUGCAAGACGAGGGCUUCCUUCACUUUUUUAUUCAGACAAUGCCAAAACCUUUGUUGCAGCCUCUCGGAAUUUACGUCAGGCCUAUGGUGUUCUCAACCCAGACUGGAAGUUCAUAGUACCUAGAGCUCCAUGGUGGGGAGGCUGGUGGGAACGCUUAGUAAAAACGGUUAAAGUAUCACUGAGGAAGACCUUUGGAGUCAAAUGUUUGUCAAGGUGUCAAUUAGAAACUUCCCUCCAUGAAGUAGAAGCUUGUAUCAACUCUCGGCCUCUGACAUUUGUUAACGUAGAACAUGAUGCACUACCUUCUCUGUCUCCUUCACAUUUUCUGAUUGGGCGGCCUGCUGGGAUUCAAGUGGAGGGUAUUGAUGACUGUAACACUCCCGUGUCAGCUAGAGAUUUAUGCAUUCAGGAAAAUGUACGUCAACAGCAACUUAGUAAAUUCUGGAAAUUGUGGAGCAAUGAUUAUAUUAGAAAUUUACCUCCCUGUGUUAAGGGUUUUGUACCCAGAUGUAAUCUAAGGAAGGGUUCUGUUGUUUUGAUCAGGGAAGAUAAUGUUCCAAGAAUGUCCUGGCCUGUAGGUAUUGUGAUGGAUGUGUUCCCUAGUAAAGACAAUGUAAUUAGAAGUGUAAAAAUCAAGACAAGUAGAGGUAUGAUUUGUAGGCCAGUGCAAAGGCUGCAUGAUUUGGAGAUCAGCUACACUGAUUCUGAUGCAACAAAUAUUGAGAAAUGUUCUGAUAAUGUUAAGGAACUAAAUGCAGAAUUUCCAUGUAUUGAAAAUACAUCAGAAGGUGUCACCAAUGCUGACCUUUGUCCUGUGUCACGUACCAGAAGCGGUCGUUCUGUAAAACCUCCUAGUAGAUUGAAUUUAUGAUAAUGUAGGGACUUUGUAUUUUGGAUUCAUUGCUUAAGUAUAGGAGUAUAUGGUUGUACUCCUAUGGUGGGGAGAAUGUUGGAUCUGCCAAGUGGUUAUUACUUGUUAAUUGGCAGCUAAUCGGGACUUCACUUGACGGUUGUUAUAAGUUUCCCAUUUUCUUAUUUAUUUUCCACUAUAUAUAUGCAAUUUGUAUAAUUUGUUCCUUUUGAUACUUUAUUUGUGUUCUGUAGGUGAAAUUUGUGAAAAUUACUAUAAAAACUGUGUUGAUACGAUGUGAUGUAUAUGGGACGGGGUUAAUACACACACAGUCAGUCACCACCUGAAGCUCGCCGUGUUUGGUUCUCCUUGCCUUCUCCUGGCUGUAUACCUCUACACUUGUCAUAGGAUAUCUUCGCCGUGUUGGCCCCCUUGUACUUGGUGGGGACUCAACAAGAGGAAAGAUGUGAUAAAGGACAAGUUUGGCCCAAAUCUCACAGUAAAACAAAAGAGACAAGCAUGGAUGGAGGUCACCGAGAAGCUGAAUAGUGCAUUCCCUUAUGUUCGACGAUCAAGAGAGCAAGUGGAAAAGAAGUGGCAAAAUUUCCUAUCAAAGGGAAAGCGUGCACUUUCAGCAAGAAAGCAGCAGCACCAUAGAACUGUCGCUAGCAAUGGCUGGAAACGUGACUCGUAGUCGUUGGUGCUUCGUGCCGAUGUGCAAGAAUACUGACAGUACUCCAGGGAAGACAUUUGUGUCUGUGCCAAGUAAUCCAUCUAUAAGAAAAGGCUGGUGGCUCGCAGCUUGACGCGAGUUUCCCAUGUCCAAGGCUCAUAUUUACUGCUGUGAAGAUAAUUUCAACCUCAAAGAAGACAUGGAGAACUACUUAUAUUACACCUUGAUGGGAGGACACAUCAGGCUACACUCUGGAGUUAGGCCUCAUAAGUUCGACUGCCAGGGAAAGAUCACACCUCAGAAUGAGAACAGGGACAGGUUGCAGAGGAAGAGGAAGGUUCUGGAGAUUCUUUCUUCAAAAGAAAAUUUAAUGGAACUUCACCAAAAUAAGUGUCCAUAGAGCAUAUCUAGCACCUCAGCCUGACCAUGUGGAUCAGAGGAUAGAGCAUGAUGGGCAUGUUGAUCCUGAGCCACUCACCCCUUCUACACAGGACACUGGAAUACAAUUGCAGGUAUAUCCAAGAAAGAGGUUCAAGGGGGUGCAAGUUCAACCAGUGAAGGCAGAUGCGAUGAAUAACACAGAUGGUCACAUGGUGGGCAAGAUGAAGAAAACUGAAAGUACAUCUGAGGAUUCUGUUUCCACAUCAGAAAGUAGUGAUGUAGAUCAUGAUAAAAGUAAAGAUUAUGUACCAUUAGACAGUACUUCCUGUAGUGAUGAUGAAAAGAACUUUAAAAAAUUAACUCUGUACACAAAAAAGAAAAUUAAUACUAAAACAUCCAAUGGAAUACAUUGGAUUACACAAGAGGCAUUUGUAUAUUUUACAUAUUCUGUGUAGUCAUGUAACCUACAAAGAAAGGGGACAAAUUAUUUCAAACAAAGAUGUGGUAUUAAUUGUGCUAAUGACUAUUCGUACAGGAUCACCAGAGUACAUGAUUGCACACAGGUUUGGUGUCAGCAACAGCUGUGUUAGUCGCAUCCUUACUCGCUUUCUACCUGUCAUAAGUGCUUGUUUGAAAGAGCUGAUUUUCUGGUCACCAUCCGAGACCAUUAGAACAAGGCUUCCACACUCUUUCAAAGCUUACCAUCAUAAGGUCAAAAGUAUCAUUGAUUGCUUUGAAAUACAGAUAGAAAAGCCAUCCUCUGCCAUAGCACAGAGUAUGACUUGGUCUGAUUACAAGAAAUGUAAUACUGUGAAGUAUCUAGUGUCCGUAACUCCAGAUGGAUUAAUUAAUUUCAUAUCCACUGGUAAGCCUGGUAGAUGCAGUGAUAUGUAGUUAUUACAGGGAUCGGGUUACGUGGACUGUUUGAGACCAGGUUCUACAGUAUUGGCUGAUCGAGGCUUCAAAGAGGUGGAAGCUGAUCUCACUGCCAGAGGAUGUCAUUUGGAACGUCCUGCUAGUGUUAGCCAAGGGGAACAGUUACCAAACAGAACAGUCCUCAACAUGAAAGUUGUUGCUGAUUUGAGGAUCCAUGUUGAGAGAGUAAUAAGAAGAAUUAGAGUUUAUAAAAUCCUUGACAUGCAUUCAUGUAUUCCUCUUUCAGUGAUGGAUCUACUAGAUAAUAUUGUGUACAUAGUUUGUGGUUUAGUUAAUCUACAGGAACGAAUUUGUAGAAUUUAUUUUUUUAAAAGUGCACAGCACUGGUACAGUAAAUGUACAACAGUAUUAUCCUGACAAUACCAAUCUCACAUUUCAAGUAUUAGUACUGAAAGUUAAAUUUACUCCAGUAAAAGUAAAAUAAGUACUUUGUUAUAACAAGGUACUAUUUUACUGUUACUGGAGUACAUUUAACUUGGGUACUACAACUUGAAAUUUGAGAUUGUAUUGUCAGGAUAAUACUCAAAUAGUUACAGUAAAAGGCAACAUGUUGUUUGUAAAUAAAAAGUUGUUAUUUGACUUUGCAACAAUGAAUAUAUGUCUCGUGUAAUGCUGUCUCACCCACAAUGUGCAUAUUGUAAUCCUGUCUCGCCCACAUUUAAGUUAUUAACCCUAGUUUACUGUCAAAAUAAAACAGUUUCCCAAA